AUAACUACCACAUGGUUUAUCCAAAUUGCAAGUUCUUUAUAUGCACAAACUCCAUUUAAUGUGUACUUCAAAGUUGCAUAUUUGGAUUUUUUGGAAAAGGCUCAAUGCAAAAUGCCAUUUUUGAAGUGAACUAUUUGGAAGGAAGGGCAAAAUGGUCAUUUUUGGAAAUAUUGAGAAUUUGGGAACAAGGCUAAUACCAACAGCUUCCAAAUGCUAUUUUGAGCUGGUUUUCAAUAUCCAUUUUAUGCUGUCAUGCUUCAAGGCGUUGAAGAGCUCAAAUCCAAACUUCACCAUAAACCAUUUUUUCCAUUUAAUUCAUUUGCUUAAUUAUGUUUAGACUGGGAUUAAGAGAUGAUAUAUAAUUAAUUCCCAACAGAAAUAGACUCUAAC
Molecule: long non-coding RNA, 390 nt
Filed under: Lathyrus oleraceus (garden pea)
Lineage: Eukaryota; Viridiplantae; Streptophyta; Magnoliopsida; Fabales; Fabaceae
Description: Pisum sativum (pea) long non-coding RNA (PSAT_LNC021721)
Source: RNAcentral